UACGUAGGGUGCGAGCGUUAAUCGGAAUUACUGGGCGUAAAGCGUGCGCAGGCGGUUUUGUAAGCCAGGUGUGAAAUCCCCGGGCUCAACCUGGGAAUGGCAUUUGGGACUGCAAGGCUUGAGUGCGGCAGAGGAGACUGGAAUUCCUGGUGUAGCAGUGAAAUGCGUAGAUAUCAGUCGGAACACCGGUGGCGAAGGCGGCUUCUUGGGCCCUUCCUGACGCUGAGGCGCGAAAGCCAGGGGAGCGAACGGG
RNAcentral lists this ribosomal RNA (253 nucleotides) under uncultured bacterium. Its description in RNAcentral is "partial 16S ribosomal RNA". It matches the Rfam family "Bacterial small subunit ribosomal RNA", at positions 524 to 776 of the family's 1533-position model. The record is from RNAcentral.